GGGAAGGUGGCAGAGCGGUUGAAUGCAUCGGUUUUGAAAACCGACGUGUUGAAAGACACCGGGGGUUCGAAUCCCCCCCUUCCCG
Molecule: transfer RNA, 85 nt
Filed under: Parachlorella kessleri
Lineage: Eukaryota; Viridiplantae; Chlorophyta; Trebouxiophyceae; Chlorellales; Chlorellaceae
Description: tRNA-Ser
Rfam family: tRNA
About the family: Transfer RNA (tRNA) molecules are approximately 80 nucleotides in length. Their secondary structure includes four short double-helical elements and three loops (D, anti-codon, and T loops).
Source: RNAcentral